This 419-nucleotide ribosomal RNA is filed under the name uncultured bacterium. RNAcentral describes it as "bacterial SSU rRNA". It matches the Rfam family "Bacterial small subunit ribosomal RNA", at positions 118 to 518 of the family's 1533-position model. The record is from RNAcentral.
GGAGUAAUACUGCCCUUAUGAUCGGGAUAACAGUUGGAAACGGCUGCUAAUACCGGAUACGCUCAAAAUGAACCUUUUGAGGAAAGAUGGCCUCUGCUUGCAUGCUAUCACGUAAGGAUGAGUCCGCGUCCCAUUAGCUUGUUGGCGGGGUAACGGCCCACCAAGGCAACGAUGGGUAGCCGAUUUGAGAGGAUGAUCGGCCACACUGGAACUGAAACACGGUCCAGACUCCUACGGGAGGCAGCAGUGGGGAAUAUUGCGCAAUGGGCGAAAGCCUGACGCAGCGACGCCGCGUGAGGGAUGAAAGGUUUUCGGAUCGUAAACCUCUGUCAGAAGGGAAGAAACUACGUUGUGCUAAUCAGCAGCGUACUGACGGUACCUUCAAAGGAAGCACCGGCUAACUCCGUGCCAGCAGCAGC